CUAAAUCCUGCCCAGUGAUUUUUAAAAAGAAAAUUACAGGCCUUCCCGUGUUCCCGGCAAUAUGCAAAUAUCGCGGCCGGGCCUCCCAGGUCCGACUGCCGAAGCUCGGGGCUGCAAGCCCAAUACCCGCAGGGCUGCCUGGGAACGGACCGACCGUCCUGGGGCGCUCAGCCUUUCUCCCCAUGGAGGAACCGCGCAACCUCCCUGGGCUCCCCCGCUGCCCGGUGCCGGAGUCGCUGUCCCCUCCUCGCCUCCCUCUAGUGAUUGCAAGGAUGGUGAAGACUCCAUCAGCCUGGGUCUUAGACUGAGGACAACGUGGAGUGGAGACCUCUGCUGACUUUUGAUGGAGAUGUACUGUGAGCAAGAAAUAAACCUUUUUUG
This 381-nucleotide long non-coding RNA is filed under the name Heterocephalus glaber (naked mole-rat). RNAcentral's name for it is "lncRNA (ENSHGLG00100048042.1)". The record is from RNAcentral. Lineage: Eukaryota; Metazoa; Chordata; Mammalia; Rodentia; Bathyergidae.